RNAcentral lists this ribosomal RNA (478 nucleotides) under Lecidea sp. UCR1. Its description in RNAcentral is "SSU rRNA". It matches the Rfam family "Bacterial small subunit ribosomal RNA", at positions 450 to 952 of the family's 1533-position model. The record is from RNAcentral. Lineage: Eukaryota; Fungi; Ascomycota; Lecanoromycetes; Lecideales; Lecideaceae.
AAAUUCUAGAUAGAAUUAUGAAAAUGACAUUAUCUAUCUAUGUGUCUUGACCAAAUUACGUGCCAGCAGUCGCGGUAAUACGUAAAAGACUAGUGUUAUUCAUCUUUAAUAGGUUUAAAGGGUACUUAGACGGUUAAUCAAGCCCGAAUAGGGAACUAAUAUACUAGAGUUUGAUGUAAGGAAGCAUGAAAGUACUGUUGGUGUAGAGAUAAAAUUCUAUCAUACCAAAUAUGGCACAGGUUUAGGCGAAAGCAUCUUCUUAUGUAAUAACUGACGUUGAAGGACGAAGGCUUUGUGUCUCGAACAGGAUUAGAUACCCCAGUAGUCUACGCAGCACAAUGAUGAAUGUCAUAGCUGAGAUUUAAUUUAUUCUAUAAAUGAAAGUGUAAGCAUUCCACCUCAAGAGUAAUUUGGCAACAUUGGAACUGAAAUCAUUAGACCGUUUCCAAAACCAGUAGUGAAGUAUGUUAUUUAAUUC